RNAcentral lists this ribosomal RNA (1539 nucleotides) under Klebsiella pneumoniae IS33. Its description in RNAcentral is "SSU rRNA". It matches the Rfam family "Bacterial small subunit ribosomal RNA". The record is from RNAcentral. Lineage: Bacteria; Pseudomonadati; Pseudomonadota; Gammaproteobacteria; Enterobacterales; Enterobacteriaceae.
AAAUUGAAGAGUUUGAUCAUGGCUCAGAUUGAACGCUGGCGGCAGGCCUAACACAUGCAAGUCGAGCGGUAGCACAGAGAGCUUGCUCUCGGGUGACGAGCGGCGGACGGGUGAGUAAUGUCUGGGAAACUGCCUGAUGGAGGGGGAUAACUACUGGAAACGGUAGCUAAUACCGCAUAAUGUCGCAAGACCAAAGUGGGGGACCUUCGGGCCUCAUGCCAUCAGAUGUGCCAGAUGGGAUUAGCUAGUAGGUGGGGUAACGGCUCACCUAGGCGACGAUCCCUAGCUGGUCUGAGAGGAUGACCAGCCACACUGGAACUGAGACACGGUCCAGACUCCUACGGGAGGCAGCAGUGGGGAAUAUUGCACAAUGGGCGCAAGCCUGAUGCAGCCAUGCCGCGUGUGUGAAGAAGGCCUUCGGGUUGUAAAGCACUUUCAGCGGGGAGGAAGGCGGUGAGGUUAAUAACCUCAUCGAUUGACGUUACCCGCAGAAGAAGCACCGGCUAACUCCGUGCCAGCAGCCGCGGUAAUACGGAGGGUGCAAGCGUUAAUCGGAAUUACUGGGCGUAAAGCGCACGCAGGCGGUCUGUCAAGUCGGAUGUGAAAUCCCCGGGCUCAACCUGGGAACUGCAUUCGAAACUGGCAGGCUAGAGUCUUGUAGAGGGGGGUAGAAUUCCAGGUGUAGCGGUGAAAUGCGUAGAGAUCUGGAGGAAUACCGGUGGCGAAGGCGGCCCCCUGGACAAAGACUGACGCUCAGGUGCGAAAGCGUGGGGAGCAAACAGGAUUAGAUACCCUGGUAGUCCACGCCGUAAACGAUGUCGAUUUGGAGGUUGUGCCCUUGAGGCGUGGCUUCCGGAGCUAACGCGUUAAAUCGACCGCCUGGGGAGUACGGCCGCAAGGUUAAAACUCAAAUGAAUUGACGGGGGCCCGCACAAGCGGUGGAGCAUGUGGUUUAAUUCGAUGCAACGCGAAGAACCUUACCUGGUCUUGACAUCCACAGAACUUUCCAGAGAUGGAUUGGUGCCUUCGGGAACUGUGAGACAGGUGCUGCAUGGCUGUCGUCAGCUCGUGUUGUGAAAUGUUGGGUUAAGUCCCGCAACGAGCGCAACCCUUAUCCUUUGUUGCCAGCGGUUCGGCCGGGAACUCAAAGGAGACUGCCAGUGAUAAACUGGAGGAAGGUGGGGAUGACGUCAAGUCAUCAUGGCCCUUACGACCAGGGCUACACACGUGCUACAAUGGCAUAUACAAAGAGAAGCGACCUCGCGAGAGCAAGCGGACCUCAUAAAGUAUGUCGUAGUCCGGAUUGGAGUCUGCAACUCGACUCCAUGAAGUCGGAAUCGCUAGUAAUCGUAGAUCAGAAUGCUACGGUGAAUACGUUCCCGGGCCUUGUACACACCGCCCGUCACACCAUGGGAGUGGGUUGCAAAAGAAGUAGGUAGCUUAACCUUCGGGAGGGCGCUUACCACUUUGUGAUUCAUGACUGGGGUGAAGUCGUAACAAGGUAACCGUAGGGGAACCUGCGGUUGGAUCACCUCCUUA